This 63-nucleotide transfer RNA is filed under the name Potomida littoralis. Its description in RNAcentral is "tRNA-Gly". Lineage: Eukaryota; Metazoa; Mollusca; Bivalvia; Unionida; Unionidae. The record is from RNAcentral.
AUACUGAAAGUAUUAUACCACGUACAGCUGCCUUCCAAGCAGAAAGGCCUAUCGGUCAGUAUA